AAACCACUCACAAUCAGUGCAGAGUGUGGCCACCUGGAGCUGAGCCGUGGAAGCCUUCUGCCCCCUCCCUCGCCCUGGGCCCCCGCCCCUCGCCUUCUGUCCAGCCCCUUGCCCUCCAUCCGCCCCCAACCACGCACAGCGUCUGAGUUUAAUUUGGAGAUGGUGAGAAUUGGCAGUAAAAUGGCCAAAGUUGGUCUUUGAAAGGCGUCCGAUCCUGGAUGAUAGGAAUGCUGUUUUGGUCAGAAAUCCAAAGAUAAAGGCCGGUGCUCCCUCUUUUCUUGUGGACGCCUGUGGCUUCCGACGUCGUAUUUGAGCACUUCGGAGACUCUAGUGGUAGCGCUCACUUCUCUGUGGCCCCGGGAGGCAGCAGCAAGGCCAUUCCCACAGCUUAGCAGGAGCAAAGGUCGUGACAGAGGGUUUUCUUGGAGAGACUCACGGCAGAAAUACAGCAGUGGACAUUCCCAUUUCCUGACGGAAUCUGCAGUGUGCACGCCAGAGGCCAGUGGUUAAGGAAAGAAUCCAUAUAUUACCACCUGCUCGGGUCCCAUCUCAUUGCUGUGAUGGUGUACCAUGAUUGACAGCAUCGCCCCGAAUAUAGAGAAUAUGAAGGAACCCUCCAGAGAAAAAGCUGCCCUAGAGAAAAGCUCUGAUAAUCGAGCUUCCCAGGUGGCUCAGAUGGUAAAGCGUCUGCCCACAACGCGGGAGACCCUGGUUCGAUUCUUGGCUCGGGAAGAUCCCCUGGAGAAGGAAAUGGCGAUCCACUCCAGCACUCUUGCCUGGAAAAUCCCAUGGAUGGAGGAGCCUGAUAGGCUACAGUCCAUGGGGUCGCAAACAGUCGGAUACGAGUGAGCGACUUCACUUUCACUUUCUUAUAGCUCCGAUUAGACAUGUUAGGCCCUUUCCCUCUUUCAUGUUGCUUCUUUCUGGUUUUGUCCAUUUGUUUUGUGCUGCAUUCUGAAUAAUUCCUUCUGUCUUCCCUUUGGUUUCCUCUGUGGCUGUCUAAUCUGAUAAUUUCUGUAUUUUUCAUUUUAUUUUUAAUUUUGUUUUUUAUUCUGUAUUUUUUUAAAGUUCUGUAUUUUUUAUUUAAACAAAUCUGUUAAUCUCUUUUUCAAGUUUGUUAGGUCAUUAACAAACUAUUCCAUAUGCAGGUAUUUUCAAGCAAUGUCAUUAAAGAAAACAUGCAUGUUUUAUAAUAGCUCAUAAUUUCCAUAUCUGAAACUUCUGGAUUCUUUUUCUGUCACUCUCAUUCAUGGUGUCCUGUUUCCUUGUGUGAUUUCUUUGUGCCUUAUUCAUUUUCCUUAAAACAUUAUUUUGGGAAUUCUUUUGAGGCUUAGGAUGAAAUUGGAUCCUUUCAGAAGAGAAUUUGCAUUGUCAGGCAUUUAGAGAAUUCUACCAGUCCAAUUUAAUCUAAAUUUACAGCUUGAAGUUUCUGUAACAUGUAGGGGUAUGAAUUUGGAUUGCAACUAGGUACAUGGGCUAGCUUGCAGUGACACCUUAGAGGUUUUUUUUUUUUUAAUCUCGGUCUGCCUAGAGCUAAAGCAGUUUUUCUUGCAGAGCCCUCUUGGUGUGGGGGUUGGUUUACUGCUAGUUCAUCCCGAAGUAGCUCUUUGCAGGGCCUGCUUUGUAGAGUGUCUUUGAUUUCUAUUCACAUGUCCUGUUAGGCCCUACAAACUGAAGCUCACAGUCCACAGGCUUGAUAGAUACCCAAGGACAAAGGUACCUUCAGGGCUUGACUCUCUAUUCUGGGUCUCUUUUUCACUUGGAUUUUGACCUAGUAAUUUCUUAUUGUCCUGUUAGUUCAAUACCAAAAAAAAAAAAAGUUACCUGUUCAUUUUAUUUUUAAUUUUGUUUUUUAUUCUGUAUUUUUUAAAGUUCUGUAUUUUUAUUUAAACAAAUCUGUUAAUCUCUUUUUCAAGUUUGUUAGGUCAUUAACAAACUAUUCCAUAUGCAGGUAUUUUCAAGCAAUGUCAUUAAAGAAAACAUGCAUGUUUUAUAAUAGCUCAUAAUUUCCAUAUCUGAAACUUCUGGAUUCUUUUUCUGUCACUCUCAUUCAUGGUGUCCUGUUUCCUUGUGUGAUUUCUUUGUGCCUUAUUCAUUUUCCUUAAAACAUUAUUUUGGGAAUUCUUUUGAGGCUUAGGAUGAAAUUGGAUCCUUUCAGAAGAGAAUUUGCAUUGUCAGGCAUUUAGAGAAUUCUACCAGUCCAAUUUAAUCUAAAUUUACAGCUUGAAGUUUCUGUAACAUGUAGGGGUAUGAAUUUGGAUUGCAACUAGGUACAUGGGCUAGCUUGCAGUGACACCUUAGAGGUUUUUUUUUUAAUCUCGGUCUGCCUAGAGCUAAAGCAGUUUUUCUUGCAGAGCCCUCUUGGUGUGGGGGUUGGUUUACUGCUAGUUCAUCCCGAAGUAGCUCUUUGCAGGGCCUGCUUUGUAGAGUGUCUUUGAUUUCUAUUCACAUGUCCUGUUAGGCCCUACAAACUGAAGCUCACAGUCCACAGGCUUGAUAGAUACCCAAGGACAAAGGUACCUUCAGGGCUUGACUCUCUAUUCUGGGUCUCUUUUUCACUUGGAUUUUGACCUAGUAAUUUCUUAUUGUCCUGUUAGUUCAAUACCAAAAAAAAAAAAAAAGUUACCUGUUCAUUUUUGUUGUUUUCAGUGGGCAGGUGGUCAGAAUUACCUAGUCUGUUUACAUUUCUGGAAACAGAAUUGUCUAGUUAUAGAAAUAUUGAGAGCAUUUGUCAAAAUUUUGGUGUCACUGGUUUACACAAAAGAUUCUGUUUCUCCAUCUGUAAAAAAGGCUUUGAAAUAGCCACCAAUUUUGAGAUCUGCAUCAAUGAAGUCUGUAGAACCAUUGAUAGUUGAAUUAAAAUUGUAUUUAAUUUCUCUGCCUUGUUCUAAGAACAAUUUACAGUGAUUAAAAUCUUAAAAUUUUUAAGAGUACCACCAGAAGCUCAAAUAAAGAAGGAAGGGCAUUUGGUAGAGUGCACCCUUAAUCUCUGCCCUGCAGUUACAGGUGGCCUCAUUUUAUUGCACUUGCUUGGUUUUUUUGUUGUUUUUACAAAUUAAAGGUUUGUGGCAACCCUGCAUGGUUGAUGAUGCUUAGAAAUUAUUAAAAAUAUUUUAAAAUUAAGGUAUGUACAUUGUCUUUUUAGACAUGCUAUUGCAUACUUAAUUGAUGAUAGUAUAGUGUGAACCUAACUUUUAUAGGCACUGGGAAAGCCAAAACUUCAUGUGACUCACUUGAUUGUGAUGUUUAUUUUGAGGUGGUCUAGGAUGGAACCUGCAGUGUCUUUGAGGUCUGCUUUUAACUAGGAGUCAGUGCAGAAUGUAUGCAGCAACCCCCUUUUAAGUUAUAUGUAGGUAGUUUUAUUUGCAAGUACGAGUUUUUCUUUGAAGAAGGUCCAUAGCUCUGAGUACAUUCUCAGGGGUCCAAGAUCCAAGGAAGGUUAUGAACUACUUAAGUACAUACAAAGAAAUCUUAGGCCAAUAAUUUAUCCUCUUUACAUGUUUUUUAACUUACUCUUUGAUGAAACAUUUUACUUCAUAAAUUUACUGUUAAGGAUUUUCCAAAAAAGACAUUAAUAUAUGACCAUACUUUGAAAAAGUUAUCCACCUUUAGAGCUGUUUUAGAAAUACACUCUGUACCUAUGGAAGCCAGAGGGGAGGGCACAUGGCAUUGGGUGAGAAUGGCAGAUGACAGAAUUUUUGCCUGAUUCUUGGGGGGCAUUAUCACCUAGCACCUAAAAUCAGUAAGCCAGAGGCAGCAUAAGCGAGGAAAGAAGUAGGGAAAUGGUGUGAUGUGUGCCAACACUGGAAAGGUAAGGAACCCAAGGUGUUACAACAUAGAAAAUGAAGCAGUUUCAAGGAAUGAAUUAUUAACAGUGGCAAAUACAGGAGAGAUCCCCUGAUAACUAAACAUAUUUGUUUGACAAUCAAGAGGCCUCUGUUUUCUUUAGUGAGGGAUGGGAACCAGAUGGGAGAUGAACAGGAAGUGAGGUGGUAAAUGGAGAGGAAAUGUACACAGAGUCUGGAUGUGAAUGGGAGAGGGAGACAGGUGCUGCUGUUAUUAAGGGAGUUCCUUUUUUUCUGAAAAGAUGGGAGAAACAGGAACAUGUUUAUUUAUUGGCCGAGGAGAAAGGAAUAGAAAGGGAGAGGUUGAAGAUAAACGUUGUUUUUUCCCCAGGCUCAGAGAUUUGGUAGAAAUCUUCAGGCUAUUCAGGAAGAUCUAAAUGAAUUAAACUUGUAGUCAGUUCCUCAGGACAGCACCUCAGUACAAUAGCUGAUCCACGUGGGUAGAAACUACAGAACAUCUUCUCGAGUUUAACUCAAAGAAGUAACAGCUCAGAAGAUAAUUACAGAAUUAAAAAAAAAGCAAGUCAGGAUAACGGUGGUGGUGGUAGUUUAGUCGCUAAAACGUGUCUGACUCUUGCGACCCCACGGACUGUAGCCUGCUAGGCUCCUCUGUCCAUGGGAUUCUCCAGGCAAGAAUACUGGAAUGGGUUGCCAUUUCCUUCUCCAGGGGAUCUUCCCAACCCAGGAAUCAAACCUGGGUCUCUUGCAUUGCAGAUUUCUUUACCGACUGAGCUAUGAGGGAAGCCCUCAGGAUAACAGUAUCUUUAAUUAUAUUUUGUUGUCAACU
Molecule: long non-coding RNA, 4632 nt
Organism: Bos grunniens (domestic yak)
Lineage: Eukaryota; Metazoa; Chordata; Mammalia; Artiodactyla; Bovidae
Source: Ensembl